This is a long non-coding RNA of Hypanus sabinus (Atlantic stingray), 5459 nucleotides long. RefSeq lists it as uncharacterized. NCBI's taxonomy places the organism in Eukaryota, Metazoa, Chordata, Chondrichthyes, Myliobatiformes, Dasyatidae. The transcript is spliced from 4 exons. The record is from RefSeq and is a predicted model, not a curated record.
CGCGCUUCCGUGGCCGAGCUCGCUGAGGCGUUGGCGAGGUGUGUCCGGUGGUUGCCAUGUCGGAUCUGGCCCUGGCCGGCAGCAGGUAUCUCAAAUCAGUGCCCACCCUGAAAACCACGGCCAGUACAAGACCUUAUCAAGCUCCUUAUCUGACCGAAUAGUUUCACAACUUUUGCUCCAGUGCGCUACUUAACAGCAUUAACACUGCAUGACAAACCUACCUGAAAAUUAUAAUGAACGUAUCAAUCAACAAAAAACUAUUACUAAUCUUCUUUAAGAUAUCAAGAUGACAUUUUGCAGCACCUCAGAACAGAUACAACAAGAAUGGAAAACACAAGUUUCCUUGGAAGUAUAUACUCAUAUCAUCAUCUGCUUCAUAACCUUGCUGAGUGAAGACAUGGCUACUGCCAAAGGAAGAAGUGCAAGGACACCCGGAGCCUGAGUGUCAUGAGGGGGAGCUUGGACAUCAGUGGGAGAAAUCCCCAAGAGAUUGCAUUUGAAGUUCAUUUUAAGCCAUUGUAAGCUAAUAAAAUUGAUGCACCAUCAAUAACUCUCAGAGACAGGAGAUGAACGAUAGGCUUUUAUUAGCUGCAAGAGACCACGAUUAGUAGCAAGAGACCACCACACAACAUCCUGGAGACUGAGGGAGGAGCAGUGCCUCCAACCACCUUUAUACAGGGGUCUGUGGGAGGAGCCACAGGAGCAGUCUGCAGAGGGGCGUGUCCAGACAGGUAUAUGUAGUUCACCACGGUAUUAUAAAUAAUGCACUGCCGCAAAUCAUUAUAAUGUUUUGGAUUUUAUCUCCCACCCUUGUGACUUCUACAGCCAAGAAGAACAAGAACAGAAUGCACAUGGAAACAAUGUCUCCAAGUUCCAUAAAUGGGGGGAGAACUUGAGAAGCUUGAAUAACAGAGAGAGCAUGUGUCCCACAGAUCCUUAAAGAUGGAUAACCUUACAUUGAUGAAGCAUCUGGAGAGGUGGAGUUUCAAGAUGGCGACGUAAACAUCUGCCUUUUAGGCGCUCUUCACUUUUUUAACUAUAAUCACCCUUUAAUCAAAUCUUUUCGAAUUUAAUCAAAUGAGUUGAUAUUUUCGAUUGACUUUUUUUUUCCCUAAAACUAUAUUUGAUCUAACUUUGUCGAACUUAAAAUGGCUACAAGUAAGAAAUCGUCUAAGGAGCCUUUAUCUAUCGAUGCAAUUUCUAAUCUUCUGGACACUAAACUUGCAAGUUUGGAAAGCAAGCUGGAAAGUAAAAUGGCAAGUUUGGAAAACAAGCUGGAAAGUAAAAUGGCAAGUUUGGAAAACAAGCUUACCACGAAAAUGUCUGAACUUGAAGGAGUUGUUAGAUCGCUUAAUACUAAGCUUCAGUCGCAGGCAUCGGAUAUUCAGCGGCAUGAAGAUAAGUUGGCGACUCUUGAAAAAUUAAUUGUUGAAAAAGUACGUACAAUUGAAGUGUUGGAUAAGAAGGUACAAUCGACUCUUAAAACUGUAGAUCAGUAUAAGUUUAAAAUUACUGAUCUCGAUGAAGCAUCUGAAGGUAAUUAGACUGCUCUAACCCUGAAAAAUGCCUACAACAAUGUUUUCCCACAGAAAUGAUUGAUUAUUAGCAGCCUCAGCUAUCUUUUUUUGUGAGGUAUGACACCAAUCUUUGAAAUAUUUACCCCUGAUGCCAAUUGAUUUCAGUUUUACCAGAAUUUCUUGUUGAAAUAUUUGUAAAGUGUUGCCUUGAUAUCAAAUGACUCUCAGCUCUCUUUUGGAAUUCAUGCCUUGAUUUAUGUUUUGUCCAAGAUUAUGGUGAAAUAUGGAGAUGACUGGUUGCGGCAAAACUGAAAUUAGUGUCAGUGAGAAUUCCCAUGCUCUUUGAGAUAUUUUAUAUUAUCUUAGUUUUAUUUUAUCAUUCUUUAGAAACAAUAUGCAACUCAAUAAGUUUUACCAAAACAAUAAGUUUUACCAGAAUUUACCAGUUUUAUGACUCCAGAAAACAUUGACCUUUCCUCUCUCCACUGCCUACCUAAUGUCAUUGUAUUGCCAUCUCUCCAAGUUACAGGGCUUGACCUCUUGUCUACAAUCUCCUGUGGUAGCCAAAUUCUCCAUUUACUACUCAAUAAUUUAUAGUGCAGCCUGAUUUUUCUCAGCUUCCUAGUCCAAGGGAGUUUUGAUUUAAUUCCCUUCCAAUACCACUGCACUACCAGUCCCCCAACUGCUGUCUCCUACCGGCUGUCUAUUUGCUGACUAUUUACUCAGAGCACAGAAUUGAUAACUUCUGUGUAUUCCUAUUAGGAAAAUACACAGUGCUUAGUUUAAAUCCAAUUCUGCUUUAUUUAGUCAGAUUUUGUUUCUGUGGUUGCACAUUCAACUUUAUGUUGAAAAUUACUGGAAAUUAUGGGACAAUGAGUAAAUGAUUCAGUCCCCCAAGUCUGUUCAGGUAAUCAAUGAUAUCACAUAUAAUUUGUGAUGUAUCUGCCUUUUUUCAUAUUAUCUUUCAUAAACUCUUUAAUGUCACUUAAUAUCAAAGUCACAUUAUCAUGUUGAUUCCAUAUUGUUGAAGAUGAAUGAACAUCUUUUGCUUCAAUAUACAUGCUUAUUUUAACUGACUAAAUUUUCAGUUGUUGCUAACUUUAAAAUGGUAUUAAACCAUUUUAAACAGGUAUUUAUCACUUUGCACACUUUUUAAUGGUUUUAAUUGUUAAAGUAAGAUUUGUUCCUUGACAACAUAGUCUUGGCAAUAUCAAUUUAUGUAUUAUGUUUUAAAAAUUUAAUCAAGUAAGUUUACAAUUAAGUUGAUGAGCUUGGGAACUCAACUAUUAGGGAGACGUAUGUUUUUACUGUGGGACACUGCUAAUAAAUUGCAGUUGUAUGGGGCAUGUUGGAGUAUUGAAACUGAUGGAACUUCUUUUAAUACCAGCAUGAGAUCAGAAGUUUUGCUUAGCAUCCUCCCCAAAUUCACAAUGUAAAUGAAAGACUUAAAAAUACCCCUACAGGCCUUUAGCAGCUGAAAGGGAGAAACAUGCUAGACCUGAUUCUUUCUCUUUAUCUCAUCAGAAUCUCAACUACAGCACAAAACACUAUGCCUCUCUACAGCAUAUCAAGAGCCACUCAAGUUAGACAGAGUCCUCAUGUACUUUGUCAAUUUUGAAGAUACAAGGAGAGAGAUUAGAUUGUUAAUGUUAAUUACUGUUUCUAUAACUGCUCUCACACUUGCAAAUUUUCAAUACCUGUCCAUCUAUUGAAGUUUUAACAAAUAAUCCAUAAAUUGUAAUUAGGCAAAAAAAUUUCUCAGAAUCUCUACCUGUGUGACACUAUAAACAGCUCAGACAAUGUGUGUGUGUUGAUUAUCUUGCAAUAUUUUAUUUUCUGGUAGGGCAUUAAAGAAAAUGGAACUUGUCAUAAAUAAUCUUUAUUGCCAAUUUCAGCUGCUUAUUUGGAGGCUAGGAACAUCAAUUGACCACGGAAUAAUGCAGAGUACUCACAUCUUCUGCUGACAACUGGUGGACACAAGCCUGUAGCAGACAGGUUUAGUUAAUGAUAAAGAUGUGUAGCUUCUGUUUUGUAGGUGGUUGUCAAUUUAAAAGAAAAGUUUGCAUUAAGUUUUUUAGAUUUGACCACUAAGUGUUUGACAUCAAGAUGGCCACAAGGAGCUUUGUUCUCUAGGGCUUGCUGUCAUGUUGGUAGUUCUGAACCAGGUGGAUAAGAAAGAUUUUGCAAGUCAAACGAUAAUCAAGCAAAUUUAAAUUGGUUGUUUUUUUGUACUUUGUUCAGUAGAGGGCAGUAUUGAGCACUUGUUUCAUGAUUACCCUUUUGAUCCAGAUGACUGGACUUUGGAUUGUCUUUCAGGUUGAUUUUAGCCCAGUUUUGCACUAAUAUUUCUAUUGACAAAUUAAUGUACAAAAAUAUGCCAGCUUUUUAAUAGAUUUCAUGACAAGAGGAUAAAAUACUUCCUUGAUUCAGAACUUCAGCUAUUAUAUGAGAACCUGAUGCAGAGUGUCAAACAUUAAGAUAAUAUAUAUAAAACAAAAUAAUUCCAUUGAUACACUUUCUUUCAAUCCACAAAAGCAGAUAGAGCAAAUUCUGGGAUUUGUGUGUAAUGCAGGCAUCCCCAAAUGGUGAUUUCAUAUACUCAUGCAUUAUUGUUCCUCAAGGAGACAUUAGAGUCAGGAUAGAAGCAAGCCCCACACCAUGCCGAACUAUUAUUCUGCCUAAUCUCAUCAACCCCUCCAUAACCCUCCCGUUCAUGUACUUAUCCAAAUUAUCUUAAGUGUUGAUAUCAAUCCGUAUCCACCACUUGCGCUGGCAGCUCAUUCCACACUCUCACCACCUUCUGAGUGGAGAAAUUCCCCCUCAUGUUCCCCUUAAACAUUUUACCUUUUACCCUUAACUCAUGACUUCUAGUUCCAGUCUCAUCCAGCUUCAGUAGAAAAAGCCUGCUUGCUUUAACCUUAUCUAUACCUCUCAUUAUUUUGUAUACCUCUACUAAAUUUCCCCUGAUUCUCCUACAUUUCAGGGAGGAAAGUCCUAACCUGUUCAACCUUUCUCUGCAACUCAGGUUCUCAAGUCAAAGCAACAUCCUUGUAAAUUUGUUCUGACCUCUUUCAAUCUUAUUGAUAUCUGUCCUGUAGAUAGGUCUUUGGAACUGCAGACUAAAAUCUAAAUUAGGCCUCACUAUCACCUUAUACAACUAAAGCAUCAUAUCUCAACUCCUGUACUCAAUACUUUGAUUUAUGAAUGCUAAUGUGCCAAAAGCUCUUUUUACGACCCUAUUUACCCAUGGUGCCACUUUCAUGGAAUUAUGGAUCUGUAUUCCCAGAUGCCUCUGUUUUGCUGCACUCCUCAGUGCCCUGUCACAUACCGUGUAAGUCCUACUCUGGUUUGUUCUCCCAAAGGACAACACUUCACACUUGUCUGCAUUGAAUUCCCUCUGCAAUUUUCAGCCCAUGUAUCCACCUAUCAGCUUUGAUAGCCUAUCUUGCUGUCUACUAUGCCAUCAAUCUUAGAUAAGAAGAUAAGACAUUGAGGCAGCAGUAGGCCAUCUGGCCCAUCGAGCCUACUCUGCCAUUCAAUAAGAUCAUGGCUGAUCUGGCUAUGUACUCAACUCCACCAACCUGCCUUUUCCCUGUGACUCUUAGGCUAUGUCCACACUACACCGGAUAAAUCCAUAACCAAAGCUUUUUCUCUUCGUUUUUACCCUCUGUCCACAGUAAAAGGGUGUUUUCAUCCCCCAAAACCGGAGCUUUUCAGAAACACUGUCCAAAGUGCGUAAUUUUGAAAACGCCAGAUUGGCCGGAGCAGUGUGGACGGGGUAACCGGAGAAACCUGAAAACGCUGUAAAACGCCAGCAUGCUAUUUCAUUGUUUUCUUGAAUGCAACCUAACAAUUUCAGAACAAACAGCAACAAGACUGACGUCAGAAGAGUUCGAAAUGUACUCACCGAAUACUUUGUCGAAUAACUUACUGAAUAAAUAA